GGCGGGAUAGCUCAGCUGGUAGAGCACACGACUGAAAAUCGUGGUGUCCCCGGUUCAAGUCCGGGUCUCGCCA
This 73-nucleotide transfer RNA is filed under the name Acidobacteriota bacterium. RNAcentral's name for it is "tRNA-Phe". It matches the Rfam family "tRNA". From Rfam's summary of the family: Transfer RNA (tRNA) molecules are approximately 80 nucleotides in length. Their secondary structure includes four short double-helical elements and three loops (D, anti-codon, and T loops). The record is from RNAcentral. Lineage: Bacteria; Pseudomonadati; Acidobacteriota. RNAcentral also lists the same sequence under 3 other names.